Molecule: long non-coding RNA, 653 nt
Organism: Ruditapes philippinarum (Manila clam)
Lineage: Eukaryota; Metazoa; Mollusca; Bivalvia; Venerida; Veneridae
Exons: 3
Source: RefSeq, a predicted model, not a curated record
UUGUAAAAUAGCGGCGCAGAUUCCUGAUUGGAUGAAAUCACAACGGCGUGCCAAUCCCUGUGUUACCCGUCUCGUUACAUUAUUAGUCCCAGUAUAAAUUUGGUCACGGCGAAUAUAGCAGGUGUGUAUCAACGGAAUUGUCUGAUAUCGAGUAACUUCAGUCAAACAAGUUUAGUUAAAUUUUGUGAAAUGAACAGAAGUUUGUGUAGAGAAAACGCUCUACUUGUUAAAGCAUAAUAUUGUUACAAACCUAAUAAAAUCAGCAUAAUGGCUACAAUAAUGAAGGAAGAAUCAUCAGAUGUAGAUUUGAACGGGGAUAAAGGUGACAAGUUUUGUGUUCAAUCAGAGACAGAGUCUACACAUAACUCCGAGGAUACUCGCACACCAUCUUUACAAAAUCAGCAAGAUACCACACAACCAAAUCGAAUGUCACAGGUUAAAUUUUGUUGUUAAUUGCAUGUGCCGAUAUCUUUUGUUUAUCCAGAAUCAUGCUUAUUUUCAUGAAAAUUCUGAAAAUGUAUCCAAAAGUAAAUUAUUGACAAGUACAUAGCCAUAGGCACUUUCAAUUCAAGUAAAUUACCAAAAAAUUUAAUUGGUAAGGUUAAUAUAUUUAAUGAUACUAUUUCUAACGACUCUUUGGAUAUAGACACUGA